CUGGGAUGUAGUGGCAACACCUGUCUCGGCGUCAGGAGGUCCGGCUUCCCCUCUGACGUAGCCUCCGACAAGUCCUUUGGGUUUUCUGGGCCUUUCGUGUCCUUCUCCGGAAAGUGAGGAGGCUGACUGCUCCCGAUUGCCGAGUCCGGCUGAGGUCUAGCCGAGCCUCCUCGUUGAGGAACGUGGGUCGACGUGGAGCGCAGGCCCCAGGCCGCCAAGAUGGCGGCAGCUGUUGCCGCGCAGGUGAAAUGCCCGGAUGGAGGAACAGCGGGAGCCCCCUGCAGGCUAAGAUGCAAGAUUUCACCCCCAGAGACCCUGGUGGAGCGCCUCAAAGAGGUUGCUGCUGGUAUUACAGCAGGUAUGUCGGGGUAAUGAAAGGGAGUUUGCUGGGAUUUUGACGGCCUGCUGACCGUCCUUCUCAGAAGGAGCUCAGACGUGAGCCGCACGCAGAUACCAGCGAAGUGUGGAGGGUACUUGCGCCUCCCUGACCAUGACCUGCUUUGCCUCGCAUCCCUGAAUCAUUUUAUAGCCUAAUUGAGAAUCAACACCUAACAAAAGAGGACUGGUAAAAAAAAUAUAUAUAUAUCAACAUCAUCCUUUUUAAUGGCUUCAUAAUAAUUUUAUCAUGUGAGCAUAACAUAAAUUAUUUAACAAUUCCCCAUUGUUUGGAGUUUAAAUUUCUUUCCCUUUUUAUGUUGCUCUUAUAAACAAUGCUUUGAUGAAAAUAGUAUUCUGCAUAGAUCUUUGCACACCUACCUAAUUAUUUCCUUGAAUACGAUGAUUUUACAGCUUCUGAUAUAUAGUACCAUGUUUCUCUCUGGAAGAUUUGUUCCCGCUUAUUCCCCAUAGCAGCGUAUAGAUGUCAUUCCUCUCUCUGGCUGACUCCAGGCAUUGUAAUUCUUUUUAGUCUUUGCCAUUUGAAACAUAAAAAGAGUGUAUCCUUGUUUUCAGCCGUAUUUCUUUCGUUACCAUUGAGGUUGAGCAUUGUUUACAUUUGGAAAUUGUAUUUGCAUUUCUUCUUUCAUGAUUUGCUUUUUCAAUGUCACUUUGCCAUCUUACCCCUAUGGUGUGUAUAUUAGUUUCCUGGCGCUGCCAUAGCAAAUCGCUACAAACUGAGUGGCUUAAAACAACAGAUGUUUAUUUUCUCCUCGUUCUGGAAGCUGGAAGUCUGAAAUUAAAGUGUUCACAGGGCCAGACUUUCUCUGAAGACCCUAUGGUCAAAUCCUUCCCUGAUUUUUCCUGGCUUUGGGGGGUUGCCGGCAUUCCUUGGCAUUUCUUGUUUUGUAGCCGCGUUAUUCCAAGUUCUGCCUCCAUCGACCUCUUGUGCUUGUCCCUGUGUCUCCAAAUCUUCCUUUCCUUCCAAGAACACCAGUCACUGGGUUAAGGCUCACCCGCUAACCUAGUGUGAGCUCAACUAUGAAGACCCAGUUCCCAAAGAAGGUCACGUUCACAGGUAUCGCAGGGGUAGGACUUGAGCGUAUCUUCUGAGGGACCCCACACUUUGCUUUCUCCCCUGUUGUACCAGCUCUGCAUCUCACCUUUAGCUCCUUUGGCCCACGCCCGCCCCCCAGCUCAGCCUGAGAGGGACAGAUUGGAUUGGAUUUGAAGAAGGUAGGUUUUUAUUCCUGGCCGCCGUGUGCGUCACGAGUCUGUGGCAUGAACCAUGUUCUUCCAGAGAAGCUAAGUGACGGAGAGAGGGAGAGAAGAGGAUGUCUUCCUGGCACUGCUGUGCGCGACGGCUGGCAGCUCUUCCACCGGCAGGUCUCGAAGUCAGUGGGUUAGAUGGAUGUUGAUCAGGAUGAGGAAGAGGCUGAGCCACCGGCGCCAGUCUUUGAAUCAUAAAUCAAUGAACCAAGGACCAUGGGGGCUGCAAACGGAAUCAUCUGUCUUUACUGGGGUCUCCCUGGGCUUAUCUGAGGCUGUGUGACUAAUAGUGGUUUCUUAAAAGCAUCAAGUGGCUUUUUUUUCCUGCUUCUCAAGCGUUCAAGCAUUUCAACGGCAGCUUAGCCUUAGCAGUUUCUUUGCACCUCAGUGGAUCAUGCUCAUCAUAAGAAGCAGAACUAGUUGUAAAAUUGGGUUGUGAUGACGGCUGUACAACUAUAAAUAUAAUAAAAUUCAUUGAGUCUAAAAGAAAAUAAAUGAACAACAACAACAACAAGAAGCAGAGCUAUUGCGAGCUAAGAAGAGUCUCUGCUCUCUGCAAGGUUCUCUCCUAGAAGGGAAGGAGGAUGGACAGUUACUGGCUUUGCUUUCCUGAGGAGUUAAGCUGGAGCAGCAGCAGUCUAGCGGGGACUUCCACUGGGGUCCCGGUUCGGCGCCUCCUCUUCGGCAGCCUCACCUCCAAGGAGCAGCUCUGCGGCGUCAAGAGCACAUGGGGCUCCAGAGAGAUUCUGGGGUCUCUGGGAGUGGGAAGUGCCUUGUUCCAAGGUGGUGAGAGGGCAGUGUGCUAGUCAUCUCUCCCCCGGAUGGGCCUGGGGCGAGAACCAGUGUGGCCAGCUCAAUCUUUUCUUUUCAGUGAGGUACCAAGUGCCGUUAAGGGCUGGAAGAGAGAAAGAGGAUGAAGGCAGGUGUACCACACUCGCCAUCACCAGCUGCUGCCCGGGAAGGGAUGUAUCAGCAUCAAUGCACGUGUCUUCCAGAGGCAGAUGCUGACCAGGGCAGAAGUGCUGGGGUAAAAUGCCCCUGAAUUGAGGGAGAGUAUAGACCUGGGUUUGCUUUCUAGCUCUGCACUUCACUAGCUGAGGAGUGUGGCUUAAUCCUCUUAAUCUCUAAGUUUCAGUUUCUGUUUUGUAAAAAUCAGACAAUAUUUUGGUAUGUUGUUUAUAGGAUAAAAUCAAAUGUGAGGAAAUCCGAUCAUAGGGUGUGGCACAUAGUAGGUACCGAAUCAGUGUUGUUUCUUUCUUUUUUAUAGGAUCUUUCAGCCUAAAUAACAGAUUGGAGCCAUACCACUGAAUGAUUCUGCCUAAAAUAGUUGCUUUAUCCAGCUAGUUGAUGUUCUAGAAUUCUCUCUCUCGUUCCUUGGGCUAAGGUACUGUCUUUUAAAUAUGCUUUGGAAAACUUUCUUCUCUCUUUGCCUGAUCAGAAAUCUCCACAUCGGGUGGCUCAGACUUCACUAGCGGGUUACAAACCUGACUAGUAUCCCAUGUGGGUUUGAUCCCUGGCUUCCCUCAGUGGCUUAAGGAUCUGGCAUUGCUCUGAGCUGUGGUGUAGGUCAGGUGCGGCUCAGAUCCUUCGUUGCUGUGGCUGUGGCAUAGAUCGGCAGCUGUAUCUCUGAUUCUGCCAUCAGAGCUCCUGGAACUCCUGAGACUCCAGGAACUCCUGAGACUGCCAUGCUUUAGAUGACAGCUGCAGAGGUGUUUCAGAGUGUCUGUAGACUCAGGCUGGAGUAGUGACGAUCAGGUGGGGGAGUCAAGAUUUUCCCGGCCAUCCACAUCCUGCACUGAGUCCCAUCUCCCCGAUCAGUUCUAGCCCCCUUCUUAUCUCUCACCUGCGGGUGAGGACACUCGAUUACUAAAGAGCAGGCUUUAGGGAGUUCCCUCGUGGCUCAGCGGAAACGAAUUUGACUAGCAUUCAUGAGGACGCAGGUUCCAUCCCUGGCCUCGCUCAGUGGGUUAAGGAUCCAGCGUUGCCCUGAGCUGUGAUAUAGGUCACAGAUAUGGCUCGGAUCUGGUGUUGCUGCAGCUGUGGUGUAGGCCGGUGGCGAUAGCUCUGAUUCGGACCCUAACCUGGGAUCCUCUAUAUGCUGAGGAUGCAGCCCUAAAAAGACUGUAUAUAUAUAUUCAAAUCACUCCAGCUCCAAAUCACAGCUCCUUUCCCCCCUUGGAAGCAGAAGCAAAGGAUUCAUGACCACAGAGACCGAGAAAUUAAAGUCACUUUAGUGAGCAUUAGAUCAGUGCUUCUGGAAACCACUUUAUUGCUUUGGAAGAACUCCUUGUGAUAUUGUGGUAGCCAGGAGCCUUACUUAGAGCAGCUCAGACACUCUGGCCUCGAGGCUUAACUCCCAGUAGCAUGGUCUCCUGCAAGAAUCUGUCUUUUGAAGGAUGAGGCAUUUUCAUCACCAGGGGGAAUGAGAUGCUACAAGCCUACCAUGGUCUUCUUCCCAGGGGCGGGUCAUAAUUCUGUAGUCUAAGACUCUGGUUCUGUGUGUGGGGCAGUGGACGUUAUGCUCUGGGUGAUUGAAUGUGUGAUUCAUUUGACACUGAGAAUAAAAUCAGGUUGACUAAUAAGAAAAUACAAGCCUCAGAGGAUCUGAAGAAAAGCCUUGAAAUCAUUGUUGAAUCAUAAAUUAACACCCAUAACGAGAAUAGAAAUUUACCCUAAAUUUAGGACCCUCUGUUUUUAUUUUUUUUUUCCCACUGCGUUUAAAUGCUUCCCAUAAAUCCUAAAUAUUUAGGGGCUGUAAAGUUGAUUAAACCCCUGAAACAUAGUUCCCUGGGACAUAAGAAGAAAAUAUUAAGCACUUUUUUAAAGUCCAUGAGCAAGACCUGAGAUGUGGUUUCUUUGAAUAGUAAGACUUAUGCCUUCUCUACUGAGGUCAAGAGGAAA
This 4545-nucleotide long non-coding RNA is filed under the name Sus scrofa (pig). Its description in RNAcentral is "lncRNA (ENSSSCG00025074214.1)". Lineage: Eukaryota; Metazoa; Chordata; Mammalia; Artiodactyla; Suidae. The record is from RNAcentral.